This 464-nucleotide ribosomal RNA is filed under the name uncultured bacterium. Its description in RNAcentral is "partial 16S ribosomal RNA". It matches the Rfam family "Bacterial small subunit ribosomal RNA", at positions 339 to 795 of the family's 1533-position model. The record is from RNAcentral.
CUACGGGCUGCACCAGUGGGGAAUAUUGCACAAUGGGCGCAAGCCUGAUGCAGCCAUGCCGCGUGUAUGAAGAAGGCCUUCGGGUUGUAAAGUACUUUCAGCGGGGAGGAAGGGAGUAAAGCUAAUACCUUUGCUCAUUGACGUUACCCGCAGAAGAAGCACCGGCUAACUCCGUGCCAGCAGCCGCGGUAAUACGGAGGGUGCAAGCGUUAAUCGGAAUUACUGGGCGUAAAGCGCACGCAGGCGGUUUGUUAAGUCAGAUGGUAAAUCCCCGGGCUCAACCUGGGAACUGCAUCUGAUACUGGCAAGCUUGAGUCUCGUAGAGGGGGGUAGAAUUCCAGGUGUAGCGGUGAAAUGCAUAGAGAUCUGGAGGAAUACCGGUGGCGAAGGCGGCCCCCUGGACGAAGACUGACGCUCAGGUGCGAAAGCGUGGGGAGCAAACAGGAUUAGAUACCCGCGUAGUC